UGUUUAUUUUUUCCCUCCCAAACAAAGGGACAUGGCAUUUUGAAUUUACAGUCUCAUAUAUGGUCCAGAUUCAGUGUAUUGCUUAAAAAUAAUAAUAAAUUAUAUUAAUACAAAAUUUGGAGAGCAAGUAGAAGGACAAUUUGGUCUUAUUUGUACAAAAUUUAAACAAUAUAAAUUGCCCUUCAUAUUCCUUUCAAAUUCCCUCAUUCUCUUGCCUUCUUUCCUUCACCNNNNNNNNNNNNNNNNNNNNNNNNNNNNNNNNNNNUCCUCAUUCUCAUUCUCUUUGCAUUCAUUUCUUGAACAUGAUAAACUCAAUUUAUUAGAUUCCAUGUACAAUCAGUUUUUAGUGAAGCAUGAAUAUGAACAAAGCAUGAAGCCCAUGAACAAUUUUUGUGUGUAAUUUAUUAUUUUACUUUAUUUGAGACUUAAGUUUUGUGAUUAUUUUUGUUCUUUUUUUUAUAGGUGAGACUCACUUCUUCAAAGGAUCUUGCUUGUGUUUCACAAAGGUAAAGUAAUGUUUUUCUAUCAAGUUCAGUUUUUGGUAUUUAUUUUGUAUUGUUAUUUUAGAAAAGAAUCAUGCAUAACCAAUCAAGUUCGUAGACAUAUGACGCCAUUGGAGUCACUUAUGAAUUUCUCAAGCUUAACUAACUAUUACUUAUUUUGUUUUAACAAUUGGAACAUGUAAAUGGGAUNNNNNNNNNCAAAGGCAUGGUUCAAAUUAUUUUGCAUCAUGAGCAUCUUGGCUAUUUUGUCCUUCAGAGUGUGUCUUCUGCUGAAAACAAAUAUGGUAAUAUGGUAAUUAAAAUUAAAAUAUUAUAUAAUCAAAUUUUUAAUGUAAUAGCCAUGAAAUCCUGUUUUCUCCAUUUGAGUUAACUAUCUAAUUGUUCUAUAAGCAGCAGUUAUGCAUAUGUUUUGCAUUUACUAAUUAAUUAAUAAAUGGAAAUGAAAAGCAUGUACAAGCUGUAUUACGAUAGUUAUAUCCACAAGAUUAAAUAUUUAUUUGCAAGUACAGAUGUUUUUUAUGCAUUCAUAUCAAAAAGUUGUGCUGUAAGUACAGAUGUUUUUUAUAAUUACAUAUUAUUAUAGAGAAAAUCCAACAUAUCUUCAUUGACAU
Molecule: long non-coding RNA, 1114 nt
Filed under: Trifolium pratense (red clover)
Lineage: Eukaryota; Viridiplantae; Streptophyta; Magnoliopsida; Fabales; Fabaceae
Description: long non-coding RNA (TPRA_LNC007218)
Source: RNAcentral